GCCUGGGUGGCUCAGUCGGUUGAGCAUCCGACUUCGGCUCAGGUCAUGAUCUGUGAGUUCAAGACCCUCUGUGAGUUCAAGCCCCACUUCUGGCU
Molecule: transfer RNA, 95 nt
Filed under: Felis catus (domestic cat)
Lineage: Eukaryota; Metazoa; Chordata; Mammalia; Carnivora; Felidae
Rfam family: tRNA
About the family: Transfer RNA (tRNA) molecules are approximately 80 nucleotides in length. Their secondary structure includes four short double-helical elements and three loops (D, anti-codon, and T loops). Further hydrogen bonds mediate the characteristic L-shaped molecular structure. tRNAs have two regions of fundamental functional importance: the anti-codon, which is responsible for specific mRNA codon recognition, and the 3' end, to which the tRNAs corresponding amino acid is attached (by aminoacyl-tRNA synthetases). tRNAs cope with the degeneracy of the genetic code in two manners: having more than one tRNA (with a specific anti-codon) for a particular amino acid; and 'wobble' base-pairing, i.e. permitting non-standard base-pairing at the 3rd anti-codon position.
Source: Rfam by way of RNAcentral